Non-coding RNA from Chlorocebus sabaeus (green monkey), 216 nucleotides. It matches the Rfam family "Metazoan signal recognition particle RNA". Rfam says of the family: The signal recognition particle (SRP) is a universally conserved ribonucleoprotein. The record is from Rfam. NCBI's taxonomy places the organism in Eukaryota, Metazoa, Chordata, Mammalia, Primates, Cercopithecidae.
ACCAGGCACAGUGGCUCAUGCCUGUAAUCCCAGCACUUUGGGAGGCCGUGGUGGUUGGAUCUCAAGGUCAGGAGAUUGAGACCACCCUGACUAACAUAGUGAAACCCCGUCUCUACUAAUAAUACNNNNNNNNNNGUAUUAUUAGUAGAGACGGGGUUUCACUAUGUUAGUCAGGGUGGUCUCAAUCUCCUGACCUUGAGAUCCAACCACCACGGC